RNAcentral lists this long non-coding RNA (9784 nucleotides) under Nicotiana tabacum (common tobacco). RNAcentral's name for it is "long non-coding RNA (NTAB_LNC010632)". The record is from RNAcentral. Lineage: Eukaryota; Viridiplantae; Streptophyta; Magnoliopsida; Solanales; Solanaceae.
GAAUUCCCCGAAUCUAAACAAAAUAAGUAUAUUAUUAUCAAUAUAUGCUAAAGGAAUGAAACCCAUACGAAAAUUAUUAAUUUAACUCAAAAAUCCCGAAAUUGGCCAAACUCAAACCCGGGCCCACGUCUUGGAAUCGAAUAAAAAUCACAAAACUAGAAAACUCAUUAGCUCACGAGUCUACCCAUAUCAAAAUUCAUCAAAAUCUGACGUCAAAGGUCAUCCAAAUCCAAAAAAUCCAUUCUCUAAUUUUUCUUCCAUUUUUCCCUAUUUUUACCCCAAAUUCUCAAAAUAAAUGAUAAGAUUCAAGACAUAAUUAUGGAAUUUAGCCCAAAACAAGUGAAGAACACUUACCUUAAUCACUCCUUUGAAACUCCUCUCUAAAUUCACCUUCUCCCGAGCUCUCUAAUGAGUUUUUGAAAAUAUGAACUAAACCCUCUUUUUUGAACUUAAAGAUUCUGCCCAGACGCUUCCUUCUUCGCGAACGCAGUCAAAGUCUCGCGUUCGCGAAGCACAAAAAUCACUGCCCAAUUAUUCCUCUUUUGCAAAUGCGACAUCAUUCACGCGAACACGAAGGUUCAACUGCCCAAGCCUUCGCGAACGCGGCCCUACCUACGCGAAUGCGAUGCACAAACUCCUGGGGUCCCAGCUGCUCUAAUUUACCCUACGCGAACACUACUGCUCUCACGCAUUCGCGAUUCAGUGGAAUCCAAACCUAUGCGAACGCAUCCCCUGACUCACGAACGCGAAGAGAAUUUUCUCCCUUAGACCCAGCUCUUCUCCGCGAAUGCGGGACAAUCUUUACGAAUGCGAAGAACAAAUUCUUCUGUAACAAAAAACUGCAAAAUCUACAACUCUCCAAAACCAAGAAUUGGUCCGUUAACCACCCUAAAAUAACCUGAGGCCCUCGGGACCUCAACCAAACAUGCCAACACAUCCCAUAAUAUGAUUAAAACUUGUUCCAAUCUUCAAAACAAUGCCAAAACAUCAAAUCACCCUCGGAUUCAAGCAUAAGGAUUCCAAAACUUCCGAAUCCCACAAUCGAUCAAAUAGUCUAUCAAACCUCGUCUGAAUGACCUGAAAUUUUGCACACAUGUUCCAAAUGACACAAUGGACCUAAUCCAAUUUCCAGAAUUCCAUUCGGGCCUCAAUAUCAAAAUUUCCACUGCUAACCGGAAAAUGCCAAAUUUCCAAUUUCGCCAAUUCAAGCCUAAAUCUUCCACGGACCUCCAAAACACAUUCUGAUCACACUACUAAGUCCGAAAUCACCUAAUGAAGCUAUCCGAACCAUCAGAAUUCACAUCCGAGGCCUUCUACCUAUAAGUCAACAUUCAGUUGACUUUUCCAACAUAAGCUUACUCAAAAGAGACUAAGUGACUCAUUCUUCUACAAAACCACUCCGAACCCAAACCAACCAACCCGAUACCAUGUAAUACAACUGAACAAGACAUAAAGAAGAAUAAAUGGGGGAAAUGAAGUGAUAACUCAUGAAACAACCAGUCGGGUCGUUACAUCAUCCCCCUCUUAAACAAAUGUUUGUCCUCGAACGGGUCAAGAAACAUACCCGGCUGAAUAGUGCACUCGGACUGCCCGUCCAUCUGAGGGUGAAAAGCUAUGCUCAACUCAACCUGAGUACCCAACUCUCGCUGCACGGACCUCCAAAACUGCAAAGUAAACUGAGUACCCCUAUCUAAAAUGAUGGAAACUGGGACACCAUGCAAGUGAACAAUCUCUCGGAUAUAAAUCUCUGCUAAUCACUCUUAAGAAUUGGUAGUACACACAGGAAUGAAGUGCGCAGACUUGGUCAGCCAAUCCACAAUCACCCAAUUAGCAUCGAACUUCUUUAAAAUCUGUAGGAGUCCAACUACAAAGUCCAUAGUGUUCUGCUCCUACUUUCACUCUGGAAUAUCUAUCUGCUGAAGCAAGCCACCCGGUCUCUGAUGCUCAUAUUUCACCUACUGACAAUUGAGACACCGAGCUACAAAUCCCAAAAUAUCCAUCUUCAUUCUUUUCCACCAAUAAUGUUGUCUCAAAUCCUGAUACAUCUUCGCGGCACCCGGACGGAUGGAAUACCGCGAGCUAUGGGCCUCCUCCAGAAUCAACUCUCAAAGCCCAUCUCAUUGGGUACACAUAUCAGGCCCUGCAUCCUCAAUACUCCAUCAUUACCAAUAGUCACAUCUUUGGCAUUGUCGUGCUGAACUCUCUCCUUAAGGACAAGGAAAUGAGGAUCAUCAUACUGGCGCUCUCUAAUACGAUCAAACAAGGAAGACUGAGAAACCACACAUGCUAAGACCCGAUUGGGCUCCGAAAUAUCCAACCUCACAAACCGAUUGGCCAACGCCUGAACAUCAACUGCGAGAGGUCUCUCCCCAACAGGAAUAUAUUCCAAACUUCCCAUACUCGUCGCCUUCCUACUAAAGGCAUUGGCCACUACAUUGGCCUUCCCCAGAUGGUACAAUAUAGUGAUAUCAUAAUCCUUUAGGAGCUCCAACCAUCUCCGCUACCUCAAAUUGAGAUCGUUCUACUUGAACAAGUGCUGGAGGCUACAAUAAUCAGUAAACACCUCACAAGACACACCAUAUAGAUAAUGCCUCCAAAUCUUCAAUGUAUGAACAAUGACAGCCAAAUCUAGAUCAUGAACGGGGUAGUUCUUCUCAUGGGGCUUCAACUGACGAGAAGCAUAAACUAUCACUCUACCCUCAUGCAUCAUCACAUACCCAAUACAAACUCUCGAAGCAUCACAAUACAAUGUAUAUGAAUGUGAAGUUGAUGGCAAAACUAACACUGGAGCUGUGGUCAAGGCAGUCUUGAGCUUCUGAAAGCUCGCCUCACACUCAUCUGACCACAUGAAAGGAGCACGCUUUUGAGUCAAUUUGGUCAAGGGUGAUGCUAUAGAAGAAAAUCCUUAAAGGAACCGAUGGUAAGAGCCCGCCAAACCAAGAAAGCUGCGAAUCUCUAUGGUUGAGACGAUCUGGGCAAACUCUGAACCGCCUCUAUCUUCUUCGGAUCACCUUGAAUACCCUCACUAGACACCACGUGCCCCAAGAAAGCCACUAAACUGAGCCAAAACUCACACUUGGAGAAUUUUUCAUAAAGUUUCUCCUCCCUCAACCUCUACAACAUAACUCUCAAAUGCUCCGCGUACUCCUCCUAACAAAGCAAGUAUACCAGAAUAUCAUCAAGGAAUACAAUAAUGAACGAGUCAAGAUAAGGCCGAAGUACGUUGUUCAUCAAAUGCAUGAAUACUGAUAGGGCAUUGGUCAACCCAAACAACAUCACAAGGAACUCAUAAUGACCAUAUCGAGUCCUGAAAGCUGUCUUAUUAAUGUCCGAGUCCCUGAUCUUCAACUGGUGAUACCCUGAACGGAGAUCAAUCUUGGAAAACACCCUCGCUUCCUGAAGCUGGUCAAAUAAAUCAUCAAUACAAGGAAAAGGAUACUUUUUCUUGAUUUUGACCUUGUUCAAGUGCUUGUAAUCAAUGCACAUCCUCAUAGUGCCAUCUUUCUUCUUCACAAAUAGAACAUGCGCACCCCAUGGUGAUACACUAGGCCGAAUAAACCCUUAAACAAGGAGUUCCUGAAGCUGCUCCUUCAACUCUGUCGGUGCCAUACGAUACGAUGGAAUAGAAAUGGGGUGAGUGCCCAGCACCAAAUCAAUACCAAAAUCAAUAUCCUUGUCCAGUGACAUACCCAACAGGUCUGCAGAAAACACAUCUAGAAAGUCCCUCACUACCGGAACUGAAUCAAUGGUAGGAUUCUCUGGACUAACAUCCCUCACAAAGGCUAGAUAAGAAAGACAGCCCUUCCCAACCAUCCGUCGGGCCUUCAAAAAUGAAAUCACUCUACUGGGUACAUAAUUCGUCGAACCUCACCACGCAAUCCGUGGCAGCCUCGUCAUAGACAAUGUCACUAUCUUAGCAUGACAGUCCAAAAUAGGAUGACAUGGAGAUAACCAAUCCAUGCCCAAUAACACAUCAAAAUCAACCAUACUAAGCAACUAGAGAUCCGCUCGGGUAUCCAAACCCCCAAUAGGCACCAUACAUGACCGAUAUACAUGAUCUACAAUAAUAGUAUCGCCCACCAGAGUAGAUAGAACAGAUGAAACUAGAGACUCUCCGGGCAUAUCCAAAUAGUGAGCAAAAUAUGAUGACACAUAUGAAAAAGUGGAACCAGGAUCAAAUAAUAUAGAGGCAUCUCUGUGGCAGACUGAGAUAAUACCUAUAAUCACAACAUCUGAAGCAAUAGCAUCUGGCCUGGCCGGAAGGGCAUAGAAACAGGCUUGACCACCACCUGAUCAACCUCUCCCUCUAGGGCGACCCCUAGCUGACUAAUCUCUACCCCGAGCUGACUGAGCGGGUGGGGAAAUAAUUGGUGCUGAAGUCGAAGACUGACUCCUCUACUGAGAUGAACCUCCCGUAAGAUGGGGACUAAACCUCUUGAUAUGACCCAAAUCUCUACACUCGAAGAAACCUCUCCCGACAAAUGGUAGUGGGGACUGAAGGGAGCCUCUCGCACCUGGAUGUCCCCUAGAAGAACCAGGCAUAGAUGAGCCCUGAACUGAUGGUGCUCGAGUCAAACUCUAAGCUAGAAGGGCACUGAGAGAUGAGUGAACCUGAUGUGACAUGUGAAAACGGUGUUCAGAUGAUCCAUCACGAUGGACCGAACAGGCUGGCUGAGCAUGUCUGAAUGGACGGCCUCUGCCGUGUUGAAAUUGACCUCCCGAAGGAACAUGACCAAUACUGCCAGAUCUCCAAGACCUCUUGGCCUCCCUGUCAACUCGCUCUUGGCAGAGAACCGACUCUAUCUCUCAAGCAAUGUCAACCACCUCCUCAAGAAAAGUACCAGACACCCUCUCUCUGGUUAUAAGAAUUCGUAACUGAUAACAGAUGCCAUCCACGAAUCUCCUGAUCCUCUCCCUAUGUAUAGGAACCAACCAAACAACAUGACGAAAUAACUCAAAGAACCUCAUCUCAUACUGUGUCACAUUCAUAUCAUCCUAACGCAAUUGAUCGAACUACCUACGCAGCUCCUCUCUACGGGACUGCGGCAGAUACUUCUCCAGGAAGAGAGCAGAGAAUGGUUGCCAGGUAAGGGGCACUACACCAACAGGUCUACGCCUCUCAUAAGCCUCCCACCAAGUGAAGGCAGCUCCAGAAAACUGAAAAGAAGUAUAUGAGACCCCACUAGUCUCCAGAAUACCCGUUGUACAUAACAUCCUCUAACAGUUGUCCAAGAAACCCUGGGCUUCCUCGCCCUCUCCAAUCGACGCUUCUCUUCAUUAGGAAUAAGAAGAACUACAUAAUCCCGAGCAGGUGUAACCAGCUGGGCUGGUGGUGCCUCCGGUGUUUGUAGUCCCUGAACAACUUGCUUGGGUGUAUGGGAGACGGGAGUCUAAGUGCCUGACCCGUCCUUAAAAGUAGCUGAUGUAAUAGUAACUACGACUGCUUGAGCAAGACUGGUGCACACGAUUAGAAUCUGAGCCAAGGUCUCCUGGAGAUCUGGAAUAACAAUAGACAUAGUCGGUGCCUGAGCUGGUGCUGCUGGAGCAUCCCCCGUUGGAGCCUAAUCAAGAGCUUGGGCGGAGGGUGGAUCUAUAGGUGCUGCCCAAGCUGUUGAACAGGCUACACCCCUGCCCCUACCACGGCCUCGACCGCAUCCUCAGCCUCUAGUGGCCCAAAUUGGUGGUACUGGUGGUCGUCCAUCCUGACCAGUAGCACGUGUCCUCACCAUCUAUGAGAGAAUAUAAUAACAUAAGUUUAGUACCAGAAUCAACAGAUUUGCACGACAAGAAUUCAAGAAUGUAAAUUUUUUUCCUAAAGGUUCUGCAGCCUCUCGGGGAUAAGUACAGACGUCUCCAUACCAAUCCGCAAGACUCUACUAAACUUUCUUAUGACUCGUGAGACCUAUGUAACCUAGGCUCUAAUACCAACCUGUCAUGACCCAAAAAUCGACCCUGACGUGAUGGCGCCUAUCGUGAAACUAGGCAAACCAACUUACUUACAAAUACUCCAGAUUUCAUUUAAAACUUAAGUAAAACCAUAUUUUGGACAAAAAACCGAUAAAAGAUAUAAAGUAAAACCAAACAAAGCGUAAAAUACAAGUCUGACCUCGGGUGUCACUAAGUUAUGAGCAAAAUACAAUAACUAUUUGAAAUAAACAAGACUACAGAGUCUGAGAGUAGCCAACAAAUACACUAAGAGGAAGAUAAGGAAGGAGAAGGCGGGACUACGAUCUCCAGGCAGCUACCUCGCUAUCUCCAAGGAAAAAGUCCACCACUGAAAUGAUCAAUAACCGCUACCGUGACCCGAGAUACCUGGAUCUACACACAAGGUGCAGAGGGUAACGUAGUACACCAACUCAGUAAGUAACAAUUCCAAACUAUGGACUGACAGGUAAUAACGAACCAAACCUCAACAGAUAAUAUCAUUAAAUUGUACAGAAAAGUAGACAUGCUUGCACUUCAAGUAAAAAUUCAACAAUAAAUAAAUGAAGCAUAAACGAUACGGAGUAUAAAGCUCAGGAAUCUCUAUGUACCAAUGCGUAGAUAGCAUGAUCAAUGUUUCGUGUACCUCCACUCAUAAGUGCUUAACCACUUGGUACUAUAUAUGGCCAUCCGGCCCAGGGAAGAUCCAUCCCGGAAUAUAUAUAUCACUGAUCGUAGUCAUCCAGUACCAAGGAAAGCUAUUCUAUCCCUGUGGAGAAGAUCCAUCUCCAGGUAUAAAUACUUCGGACAAUAUCCAUGUCCAAGGAAGAUCCAUCCCUCAAUAUCAUCAACUGCGCUCACUAGGGGUGUGUUACAGACUCCGGAGGUGCUCCUACAGCCUAAGAUCUAUCAUAAUCAUCAACAUAACUGCUCCGGCGUGUAGCCCGAUCCCAUAUACAGUCACUCACAACCAGGCUCUUGGCCUCAGUCACUCAUCACUCUCCAGUCUCGCACACACGGGCUCAUAAUGUAAUGAUACUAGCCUGAAUAAUGAUAUGAUGUGCCAUAUAACAAUAAUCAAGACUGAGGCAUGAUAUAUAAUGCAUAAACAGGACUGAGUAUAGAAUAUCAAUGAAGAUAAUGAUAUGACAUCAAGAAACGACAUCUCGGGUCUCAAUUGUAUUGGCAUGAAGCCCUAACACGAUAUCUAGCAUGUUUUCACAGCACAUUUACUUAUUCACAUGAUAGAAAUACGGAUAUAAACAAGAAAGAGUUAAUAAGCAGUGCCAUGGAAUGAUCCAGGGCACAAUUCUCAUGGUGCAUGCCCACACACCCAUCGUUGCCAUUCGCAUCACCUCAAUAGAAAUCAUAGAACACAUAGUUCGGUGUUUCGAACCCUCAGAACCAAGUUUGGAAGCGUUACUUACCUCAAGCCAGGCCAAACUCUAGCCUGCGAUGCCCUUGCCUCUCGAUCGGCUUCCAAAUGCCCCAAAUCUAACCAAAAUAAUUAUAUUAUCAUCAAUAUACGCUAAAGGAAUGAAACCUAUACGAAAAUUAUCAAUUUAACUCAAAAAUCCCGAAAUUGACCAAACUAGACUCUGGGGCCCACGUCACGGAAUCGAAUAAAAUCAUAAAACAGAAAAACCCAUUAUCUCACGAGUACCUAUAUAAAAUUCAUCAAAAUCCGACGUCAAAAGGUCAUCCAAAUCCCAAAAAUCCAUUCUCCAAUUUUUCUGUUAUUUCCCCAAUUUUUACCCCAAAUUCUCAAAUUAAAUGAUAAGAUUCAAGACAUAAUUAUGGAAUUUAGCCCAAAACAAGUGAAGAACAUUUACCCCAAUCACUCCUUUGAAAAUCCUCUCUAAAUUCACCUUCUCCCAAGCUCUCUAAUGAGUUUUUGAAAAUAUGAACUCAACUCUCAUUUUUUGAACUUAAAGAUUCUGCCCAGACACUUCCUUCUUCGCGAACGCGGUCAAAGCCUCGCGUUCCUGAAGAACAAAAAUUACUGCCCAAUUAUUCCUCUUUUGCGAACGUUGUUACACCUCCUUUUUACACCUGAAAGAGAAUAUAAGGGAGUUUUUCCAAUUAAAAUUACAUAAAUCGAAAUGAGAUUAUUUUAUUUAAUUUCAGAAUUGCCACUUGGAAUAAUUUAGGGUGUCCCAAGUCACCGGCGUAUUUUAAAUCCCAAAUCGAGGAAAUUGACUUUACUUAAAAGUUUGCGAAACCAAAAAUCUUAGGUAAGGAAUUCUAUUAACCCGGGAGAAGGUGUUAGGUAUUCCCGGGUUCUGUGGUUCGAGCACGGUCACUUAACUAUUUAAUUGGCCUAAUUAUGUGAUUUAUUACAUAUUUUAAACUUAUUGUACAUUUUUUAACUUUAUAACCGCUUUUAUUUAUUUACGGGAUUUGUUGAACAAGGCGCGAUUGUCGCACACUUGUUUGUUUGUGUAAACAUUGUGAAUCGUGUCACGGGAACCGGACCCACAAUCUACAACAUGCUUAUUUUAUUAUUGUUUGAAGUUAUGGUCGGGUCACAUGAAAUGCACACCCGAAUUGGGAUUUACGUAUCGUGACUAUGCCACGGGAACCGUACCCAUAGCCACGAUGAUUUAAAAUUAAUCGUGCCUAAAGAAAGCUACAAUAAUUAUUAUUAUCUACUUCUAAGUUGGCGAUUUGAGCCUCUCGUAAGUUCUAUCACUAUGGUUAUGAGACGUAUUGGCAAGAAAAAUGUUCAGUUACAUUAUCUGAAACCAAAGCAAUCAAGAUAAAGGCAUUUUGUUUUGAUAGGCUCAGGUAAAUUGGUCUCUUUUCCUCGGCCAAGGUACAUGUGUUACGCUCUAAAGUGAUUUUAAUCUGCUUCUAUUAGAUGAAGCAAACUUAUCAUCACUGACUACAACUUUCAUGGACAACGAGAAAGAAAUGUUAAGAAUGAACUUCUACUUUGGAAUGAUGCAUUCUACUAACUUUAUUAUCUAUGUUCUUAUAAGAGUUCCUUAUUUUAGCAAAAUUUACAACAACAAAAAAAUACAAAGUAAAAAUAAAAAUAAAAGAGCUUCAAGUUUUAGAGUAAAUACUGAACUAAAAUCUGAAUUAAUUAGUACACAAAUGACUACUUUCAAUGCCUAUGAAGUUUUAAUUGAGCUAGGCACUAACAAAUUCCUAAAUUCCAUACCAACAGUGAUGGUAUUUCACCUCCGAGCCAUAGAUCUGCUAGAACACCUCCAUAUAUAUAAGAAAUCCAUCAUAAGUUAACAAACAAUCCAAACCUUAACAAAUACGUACUUCUCGUUCAAACCAUAGAAUUGCCUUUUCAUGAUUGUUUCUUAUUAUUACUCAAAUUUUCAUUAUGGUUUUAGAUAUUCAUCACAUCGAACACUUCAAAACCAAACCCAAGCAUGCAGUCAGAAAUGAAAGAGCACCCAGUACACAUGUCAAUGAACAGCAAUUGAGAUUUCAUAUCAAUGGGGCAUCCAAAUAGCAAUUACAUUAUUUGAGACCAAAAGCACAUACCUUAACAGCAGUAGUGCAACUUAUAAUAGCCAAGUAAGGAAUAUAUUCAGCAAAUUAGGGUUCAGCUACCCACAUAAUAGCAAAAUCAACCGGCAAAUGAGACUCUCACAGCUCAAUUAAACUUCAAAGUUUCCAGAAAAUAUCCAGUAGAGGAACCGUGAGAGAAUUAAUGAGCAUUGUCUGUGUGAGUGUGUAUUUAUGAUCUCUUUGUGGAGAGUGAGGCGUGUAUCUAUAUUAGGAAAAAGGGGGUUUGUUCUUGGUGGUGAUGAAAAUGGAGAAGCCCUGAAAUUCCCAGAUGCGUCGUUGCUCUUUUUCUAAGGGUGAGGUCUUCUAAUUAUUGUUCCCUAGGUUUUCUAAU